RNAcentral lists this ribosomal RNA (183 nucleotides) under uncultured bacterium. RNAcentral describes it as "partial 16S ribosomal RNA". It matches the Rfam family "Bacterial small subunit ribosomal RNA", at positions 1319 to 1500 of the family's 1533-position model. The record is from RNAcentral.
CAUGAAGUCGGAAUCGCUAGUAAUCGCAAGUCAGCAUAUUGCGGUGAAUACGUUCCCGGGUCUUGUACACACCGCCCGUCACACCAUGGGAGUUGGCAACACCCGAAGUCGAUGAGCUAACCUUUUAGGAGGCAGUCGCCUAAGGUGGGGUUGAUAACUGGGGUGAAGUCGUAACAAGGUAUC